RNAcentral lists this ribosomal RNA (253 nucleotides) under uncultured bacterium. Its description in RNAcentral is "partial 16S ribosomal RNA". It matches the Rfam family "Bacterial small subunit ribosomal RNA", at positions 524 to 776 of the family's 1533-position model. The record is from RNAcentral.
UACGAAGGGGACUAGCGUUGUUCGGAAUCACUGGGCGUAAAGCGCACGUAGGCGGAUGUGUCAGUCAGGGGUGAAAUCCCGGGGCUCAACCUCGGAACUGCCUUUGAUACAGCACGUCUCGAGUCCGGAAGAGGUGAGUGGAACUGCGAGUGUAGAGGUGAAAUUCGUAGAUAUUCGCAAGAACACCAGUGGCGAAGGCGGCUCACUGGCCCGGUACUGACGCUGAGGUGCGAAAGCGUGGGGAGCAAACAGG